Molecule: ribosomal RNA, 253 nt
Filed under: uncultured bacterium
Lineage: Bacteria
Description: partial 16S ribosomal RNA
Rfam family: Bacterial small subunit ribosomal RNA
Source: RNAcentral
UACGUAGGUCUCGAACGUUGCGCGAAUUUACUGGGCGUAAAGGGUCCGUAGGCGGUUUAGCAAGUCGAUUGUGAAAUUUCAGGGCUCAACCGUGAAACUGCAUUCGAUACUGCUCAACUUGAGGAAUGGAGAGGACGGUGGAAUUCCCGGUGUAGCGGUGAAAUGCGUAGAGAUCGUGAGGAACACCCGUGGCGAAGGCGGGCCACUGGAACUGUCCUGACGCUGAGGGACGAAAGCUAGGGGAGCAAACGGG